UCUGUUUCCUCUGCUCGCGCGGCUCAGUCUGCAACGGCAUUUUCGGUUCUUUGACAGGAAUGAAGGCCCACCAGCGGUAAGUUCCGAAGAAGGUCUUUGCACUCUGUCCAUACAGCACGUGUGUCCCAGUUAAAGUCUCCCGCGCACUUGAGAGAUCUUACCAGACUUUUGACAGUCGGGACUCCACCGAAACCACACCCAUCAGCUUCUUCUUGAUGUACUUCAGAGCUUCUAACAGAGCUACGGUUUCCAGCUGAGCAAUGGAAGCCGCCCGAACUGUUUUGGUGAAACCGUCCACAAGGCGGCCUGAGAAGUCGCGGACGAUGCAGGAUAUCGCGCCUUCCCUCGACCCUGCACAAAUCGACCAUCGACGUUGAUCUUCAUGGUCCCUGUCGCCGGAGCUACCCAGAUCUGAGGUAUCUCGGUUUCGUCUGACUUUCUUGCUUGAGGGUGUUGAAAGCCCCAUUUUCCAUAGCUUUUCUGCUGAAAUCGGGCCAGAUCUAUUACUUUGCAGGCAUCCGGCUGACUUCCCCGAAAUAUAUAGUUAUUCCGCCCCUUCCAAAUUUGCCAGAGGAUGUUUGAAAUACCUUCCAAGGAAGGUAAGUGAGUGUCUUUCCUUAUAAAGAGCGCCAACCACGCAUCAAUUCGGGUGACUUCCUUAUAUUAGUCAGUGGAGAAUAUGGUG
This 685-nucleotide long non-coding RNA is filed under the name Eucalyptus grandis. RNAcentral describes it as "long non-coding RNA (EGRA_LNC006824)". The record is from RNAcentral. Lineage: Eukaryota; Viridiplantae; Streptophyta; Magnoliopsida; Myrtales; Myrtaceae.